GUCCUACGGGACGCAGCAGUGAGGAAUAUUGGUCAAUGGCCGGAAGGCUGAACCAGCCAAGUCGCGUGAGGGACGACUGCCCUAUGGGUUGUAAACCUCUUUUAUAAGGGAAGAAUAAAUGCUACGUGUAGCAUGAUGCCUGUACCUUAUGAAUAAGCAUCGGCUAACUCCGUGCCAGCAGCCGCGGUAAUACGGAGGAUGCGAGCGUUAUCCGGAUUUAUUGGGUUUAAAGGGUGCGUAGGCGGGCUGUUAAGUCAGCGGUCAAAUGUCGGGGCUCAACCCCGGCCUGCCGUUGAAACUGGCGG
RNAcentral lists this ribosomal RNA (305 nucleotides) under uncultured bacterium. RNAcentral's name for it is "bacterial SSU rRNA". It matches the Rfam family "Bacterial small subunit ribosomal RNA", at positions 335 to 639 of the family's 1533-position model. The record is from RNAcentral.